CCUACGGGAGGCAGCAGUGGGGAAUCUUGCGCAAUGCGCGAAAGCGUGACGCAGCAACGCCGCGUGGGGGAAGAAGGCCUUCGGGUUGUAAACCCCUUUCAGGAGGGACGAAGCCCGGGCGGUGAAUAGCCGUUCCGGGUGACGGUACCUCCACAAGAAGCUCCGGCUAACUACGUGCCAGCAGCCGCGGUAAUACGUAGGGGGCAAGCGUUGUCCGGAAUCAUUGGGCGUAAAGAGCGCGUAGGCGGCCCGAUAAGUCCGCUGUGAAAGUCAAGGGCUUAACCCUUGAAUGCCGGUGGAAACUGUCGGGCUAGAGUCCGGAAGAGGCGAGUGGAAUUCCUGGUGUAGCGGUGAAAUGCGCAGAUAUCAGGAGGAACACCGAUGGCGAAGGCAGCUCGCUGGGACGGUACUGACGCUGAGGCGCGAAAGCGUGGGGAGCA
RNAcentral lists this ribosomal RNA (440 nucleotides) under uncultured bacterium. Its description in RNAcentral is "bacterial SSU rRNA". It matches the Rfam family "Bacterial small subunit ribosomal RNA", at positions 338 to 770 of the family's 1533-position model. The record is from RNAcentral.